GGGCUCCUGGUCUAGUUGGUUAUGACGUCGCCUUCACACGGCGGAGGUCACCGGUUCGAAUCCGGUGGAGCCCA
RNAcentral lists this transfer RNA (74 nucleotides) under Methanobacteriota archaeon. RNAcentral's name for it is "Euryarchaeota archaeon (soil metagenome) tRNA-Val". It matches the Rfam family "tRNA". Rfam says of the family: Transfer RNA (tRNA) molecules are approximately 80 nucleotides in length. Their secondary structure includes four short double-helical elements and three loops (D, anti-codon, and T loops). The record is from RNAcentral. Lineage: Archaea; Methanobacteriati; Methanobacteriota.